This 484-nucleotide ribosomal RNA is filed under the name uncultured bacterium. RNAcentral's name for it is "partial 16S ribosomal RNA". It matches the Rfam family "Bacterial small subunit ribosomal RNA", at positions 28 to 507 of the family's 1533-position model. The record is from RNAcentral.
AUUGAACGCUGGCGGCAUGCUUUACACAUGCAAGUCGAACGGCAGCGCGGGCUUCGGCCUGGCGGCGAGUGGCGAACGGGUGAGUAAUGCAUCGGAACGUGCCCAGUAGUGGGGGAUAGCCCGGCGAAAGCCGGAUUAAUACCGCAUACGACCUGAGGGUGAAAGCGGGGGUCCGAAAGGCCUCGCGCUAUUGGAGCGGCCGAUGUCGGAUUAGCUAGUUGGUGGGGUAAAGGCUUACCAAGGCGACGAUCCGUAGCUGGUCUGAGAGGACGACCAGCCACACUGGGACUGAGACACGGCCCAGACUCCUACGGGAGGCAGCAGUGGGGAAUUUUGGACAAUGGGGGCAACCCUGAUCCAGCCAUGCCGCGUGCGGGAAGAAGGCCUUCGGGUUGUAAACCGCUUUUGUUAGGGAAGAAAGCCUCUGGGCUAAUACCCCGGGGGGAUGACGGUACCGGAAGAAUAAGCACCGGCUAACUACGUG